This 265-nucleotide ribosomal RNA is filed under the name uncultured archaeon. RNAcentral describes it as "partial 16S ribosomal RNA". It matches the Rfam family "Archaeal small subunit ribosomal RNA", at positions 714 to 982 of the family's 1478-position model. The record is from RNAcentral.
AGACGUCUACAUUAGAUACCCCCGUAGUCCCAGCCGUAAACUAUGCGCGUUAGGUGUAUCGGUGACCACGAGUCACCGAGGUGCCGAAGGGAAACCGUGAAACGUGCCGCCUGGGAAGUACGGUCGCAAGGCUGAAACUUAAAGGAAUUGGCGGGGGAGCACCGCAACGGGUGGAGCCUGCGGUUUAAUUGGACUCAACGCCGGACAACUCACCGGGGACGACAGCAAUAUGUAGGCCAGGCUGAAGACCUUGCCUGAAUCGCUG